Long non-coding RNA from Passer montanus (Eurasian tree sparrow), 402 nucleotides. RefSeq lists it as uncharacterized. The transcript is spliced from 3 exons. Lineage: Eukaryota; Metazoa; Chordata; Aves; Passeriformes; Passeridae. The record is from RefSeq and is a predicted model, not a curated record.
GUGAGGUUUUGUCCAGAGGAGGUUGGACAUCCAGCAUUCCUUGGUGGCCUUGAUCCUUUAUCCUGAGCUCAAACUGAAGUGGGGAAGGCUCAUGCCAAGCUUGCUGUGCUUUCUGUUGUGCACUGAACAGUUAUUGGCUGUUAUCUUGUAAACACUGCAAGACAAUCUCGUGGAGAAAAUGACUCCGUGCAGCCUGAAAUAAGAUACUGCUGGAGCAAGAACGCUGAUGACAUGGAUGAACAUUUCUGGUCGUGUUUCCUGCAGACCAGCUCUCACCUGCACCUUCAUGCCACAGACAAAUCCUCCAGCUCUCGGAACAGGGACAAUUGGAAUGGAAGAAAUGUUUAUGGUUUGACUUGGAGACUUCCAUUGUGGUUUAUUUGAUGGUUAGAAGCAUCAGCA